Molecule: long non-coding RNA, 3723 nt
Organism: Mirounga angustirostris (Northern elephant seal)
Lineage: Eukaryota; Metazoa; Chordata; Mammalia; Carnivora; Phocidae
Exons: 3
Source: RefSeq, a predicted model, not a curated record
CGUUUCUAAGCUCCUCAGUACUGGCGGUCCGGCCGGAGUAGGCGGUAUUGUAUGUCUGUGGAGGAGGUAAUACAUCAAAGCCUCUGUCCAAAGAGAAGAGAUGCGCCGAGGCGGAUCUGUGUGCCUCCGCACCAGUAAAGGGUGGAGGACACCUCUAGUUUCCAACUCAAAUACACGAUCCUUACCGCGCGGCUGGCUGGGUGAGCGCUCACAACGAGAAAAGAGGAGAGUCGUCUCUUACCUCCACUUCCGGCGGGGAUCAGACAGAAGAGAAUGGCACUACGAUAGGGUUGGUCUGCAAACUGCGCUCGCGCCGCUAGGCUCCGACUUCCGGAUCCCAGCCUUGCGGCCCUGGUUGGCCCGCCUUACGUCCCCCCCCCGAGGGGCGGGGCCUCGGAUUGACGGCUCGCGCCCGCCAUCCUUACUCCGCAGGCGCAGUGGUCCCGCCUCCCCCGCUGCCCUGUGAGGUGAGGAAGAAGCCGAGAGGGGGUAGGUUGGUAGCGGCGGGUCGCCAUAUACCUACUUGUAAGCCAAGAUUUUGCCUGCCGGCCUCUACCUGGACCCGAAUAUGCGUGUUCCCGAAUCAUAGUGACCAAGCAAUCACCAUGAUCGCAGAUUUUAUUUAUUUAUUCAUGAGAGACAGAGAGAGACAGAGGCAGAGCGAGAAGCAGGCUCCCCGCGGAGCAGGGAGCCCGAUGCAGGACUCGAUCCCAGGACCCUGGGAUCAUGACCUGAGCCGAACGCAGACGCUCAACCGACUGAGCCACCCAGGCGUCCCAAGAAUUUGAAUUUCUAACAAGUUUCCAAGCGAUGAUGAUGAUGAUGAUGAUGAUGAUGAUGAUGAUGAUGAUGGAGAAGAAGGGGGAGGGGGAGAAGAAUCAUCUGGGGCUGCUGCUAGUCCAGGUACCAUAUUUUGAGACCUACUGGCAAAGAAUAUGAGAUUCUCAGUUAAUUUUGUUGUCUUCAUUGUGCUUUUCCGUGUUUUCCACAUAGUCAAUGAAUAUGAAUUACUUUACAGAGAGGUUUUUGUUGUUUGUUUUAAAUUCACCUUAAUCUUUACUUCAAACUCUUAUUUCCCUCAUAGGCAUCCAUUCUAUGGUAUUUUAUGCAGAUCUUUUUGCUUAUAUGUGUUCUUGCAAAAUAUGUAUUAUUGUUUUAGGUGCAUUUAUUUCCUCAAAAUUUUUAUUUUUCACUUUUUCAAAAUUCAGAAAAUUUGAAAGAAUAGUACAGUGAAAGCCCAUAUACCCUUAAUAUUGCAUUUCUCUGAUUACUAAUGAAUUUUUCAGCAUCACUUCAUAUGUGUGUUAAAUGCCUCUUUUGUAAAUUGCCUGCUUAUAUAGUUGGCCCAUUUUUCCAGUGAGUUUCCUAUCUUUCCUAUUGAUUUGCUAGAGUUCCUUAUGUAGUCUAGCUACUAGUCCCCUGUCAGUUUCAGACAUUGCAAAUAUUCUGUCCCUAUUUUAACUUUGUCCGUGUUAGCCUUUUUUGAAUAGAAAUUGUUGUUUUUAAUGCAAUCAAAUCCAUCAAAUUUUUGCUCUAUGGUUUCUGGUUUGGGAGUUUUAUUUAGGAACUAGUUAUCUCCUCCCAGGUCACAAAGAUAUUCUCUUAUUUUUUUCUAUUAACUUUAUAGUUUUAUCUUUCACCUUUAGGUUUUAAUCCAUCUAGAAUCCACUCUCAUAUGUAGUGAUAGGUAGGGAUGCAAUUUUAUUUUUUUAUACACAGUGAGCCACAUUUCCCACCAUCAAAUACCAAACAAUCCUUACUUUUUCAUUGAUUUGCUGUGCCACCUUUGUCACAUAUUAUAAAACACACAUGCACAAGUCUGUUUCAGUUCUUGCAUUAAUACUGCCUUGCUUUUGAUAUUUUGUAAUAUAAGAUUUGAUAGGGCAAGUACCUCUGCUUUAGUCUUCUUUUAGUAUUGUCUUAGCUAUAUCUCCACAUAAAUUUUAAAAAGAGUUUAUCAAGCUCUUCAGAAAUCCGACUGGAAUUCUUAUUAGGAUCACACUAAAUUUACAGAUUAAUUUGAGAGAGUUGACAUCAUCAAAAUAAUAACUCAUCCAAGAACAUGGACUAUCUCCUCAUUUGUUGAAUUCACCUUCUAUCUAUGUCCUUUAUUAAGAGUCGAUUUUUCUCUUUGGAAUUGUGUGUUUUUACUAAUUUAAUUCCUAGUUGCUUUGUAGUAUUUGUUACUAUUGUGAAUAUUUUAUAGUUAUUUCUUUUUGAAUAGAUAAUACACAUAUAUUUUGAAUAUCAAAACAAAAUAAAAAUUAUACUUUGAAAAGUGUCACUCUUGUCCAUUUUACCCAAUUGCCACUAUACACACCCCCAGCAGUUACCACUUUUUUUUUUAAUUUCUUAUUUAUAAUUAACAUGUGGUGUUAUAUUAGUUUCAGGUCUAAUGAUUCAACAAUUCUAUACAUUACUGAGUGUUCAUCAAGAUAAGUGUACUCCUAAUCCCCUCUAUUUCACCGUUCCCCCCGGCCACCUCCCCUCUGGCAACCUCCAAUUCAGUCUCUGUAUUUAAGAAUCUGGUAUGUUGUUGGUUUUUUUUGGGGGGGGGUCUCUUUUUUUCCUUUGCUCAUUUGUUUUGUUUCUUAAAUUCCACAUGUGAAUGAAAUCAUAUGGUAUUGUCUUUCUCUGACUUAUUUCACUUAACAUUAUACCAUCUAGGUCCAUCCAUGUUGUUGCAAAUGGCAAGAUCUCAUUCUUUUUAUGGCUGCAUAGUAUUCCGUUAUAUACAGAAUAUUUUAUAUUUAAUAUUUUUUUUCUUGUAUUUAAGUUUACUUUCAACAAUCAAGACAGACUCUAUGAAUGACAAGAGGUUCAAAAAACCCUAUAUUUUAACAUGUUUUUUAAAAAACAAGACAUUCUGGGGCGCCUGGGUGGCUCAGUCGUUAAGCGUCUGCCUUUGGCUCAGGUUGUGAUCCUGGGGUCCUGGGAUCGAGCCCCGCAUUGGGCUCCUUGCUCAGCCGGGAGCCUGCUUCUCCCUCUCCCACUCCCCCUGCUUGUGUUCCCUCUCUAGCUGUCUCUCUCUUUCUGUCAAAUAAAAAAAAUAAAAAACAAAAAACAAAACAUACACACUGAUCUCUAUCUGGUAUCUUUGUACAGUCAUUUUGGUACACAGAUACUGACUUCAAGCUUCUUUUCACCUUAAGAAUUGCUUUCUUUUAAGUUCAACAAAGAACAUUAUGAAAUAAGAAUUGUAUCAAAAAAGGGACAGAAAAGACUGUAAGGAAGGAAGGAAGUAGAGGGAACAAAGGAAGGAAGUAGAGAAUGCCUCCUUAAUUUUGAUUUUUGUAUAUUGUUUCUUUAAUGCAUUAAAUAGAAAACCCAGUAACUGAACACGCCAACUCCCCUAGAAUAAGGAAAGACAAAAUUAACAAAGACAUGAUGGAGAUAUGUAGGUACAUUACAGUCAAUCUCCCUCUUCAGAAUGUUCUGUUAACCAGAUUCUACUGAAAAGUAUCACAUCAGGGCGCCUGGGUGGCUCAGUUGGUUAAGCGACUGCCUUCGGCUCAGGUCAUGAUCCUGGAGUCCCGGGAUCGAGUCCCGCAUCGGGCUCCCUGCUCAGCAGGGAGUCUGCUUCUCCCUCUGACCCUCCUGCCUCUCAUGUUCUCUGUCUCUCAUUCUCUCUCUCUCAAAUAAAAAAAAAAAAAAUCUUUAAAAAAAAAAAGUAUCACAUCACUGAAACAUCCCUAUGUUCAAAAGCCAGUGAUCUAUUUGAUA